Mesocricetus auratus (golden hamster) is the source of this 382-nucleotide long non-coding RNA. RefSeq lists it as uncharacterized. NCBI's taxonomy places the organism in Eukaryota, Metazoa, Chordata, Mammalia, Rodentia, Cricetidae. The record is from RefSeq and is a predicted model, not a curated record. The transcript is spliced from 3 exons.
CCCGGCACUGUGGACUUCUUUGGAAUUCGGAUGUUCCCACUGGUUUCCAACGCGGGGCUGCCCUCAGCGCAGGGUGCAGCACGGAGGAGGCCCACCGAAGUUUCAUCCCUGAGACCCACAUGGCGGAAGGAGAGGAUCAACUCCUUUAACAUAUUUUCUCAACACACAUGGACUGUGGAAUGUAUGCAUGCACACGCACACACGCAAUAAGCAUGUGUGGCCUCAGAAGAGGCAGAGCACCUAGGAGGUGGAAGGCUGACUGGGGUUGGGCGGACCAGUGAAGCUACUUUUCUGAGUCGUCCCUCAUGCUGGAGUGGGACUGCUGGCCUCCCAUGUCCCUUUAAGUGACCCCCAAUAAAUUCACUGGUUCACCAGAACGGAC